AUGUCAUUUCAAGAAAUUUACCAUGUGUACAGCCAUCAUGCACAAGGAACAUUCUUCAUCCUUUUCGAAUAUUUUGUCACCCAAAAUGUCUUUGGUCCAUGCUUCACACUCGUUCUAAGUUUCCAACCACAUCCUUGAACACGACACUUAGACACAUACAGAGUUUUCGUUGUCUUAUAUACUGAGAAUGUAAAUUUAUAUUCCACAGCCACCGACUUCAGCUUUGAAACAAGCUCAGCAUUACUAGCAAAACUAUAAACGAAGACUUACAAAUACGUCUACAAUUAUUAGCUAACAACAUUGUCAAAUCAAAUUAAUUAUACCUUCAUAAUUAUAAAAAAAAUUAUUUUCAAAAUCACUCAAACUAUUAGGAUUAACUAACAC
Molecule: long non-coding RNA, 384 nt
Filed under: Brassica rapa (field mustard)
Lineage: Eukaryota; Viridiplantae; Streptophyta; Magnoliopsida; Brassicales; Brassicaceae
Description: long non-coding RNA (BRAP_LNC003426)
Source: RNAcentral